GAUGAACGCUGGCGGCGUGCUUAACACAUGCAAGUCGAGCGAGUGAGUUCUUCGGAACGAUCUAGCGGCGGACGGGUGAGUAACACGUGGGCAACCUGCCUCAUAGAGGGGAAUAGCCUCCCGAAAGGGAGAUUAAUACCGCAUAAAAUUAUCGAGUGGCAUCACAUGAUAAUCAAAGGAGUAAUCCGCUAUGAGAUGGGCCCGCGGCGCAUUAGCUAGUUGGUGAGGUAACGGCUCACCAAGGCGACGAUGCGUAGCCGACCUGAGAGGGUGAUCGGCCACAUUGGGACUGAGACACGGCCCAGACUCCUACGGGAGGCAGCAGUGGGGAAUAUUGCACAAUGGGGGAAACCCUGAUGCAGCAACGCCGCGUGAGUGAUGAAGGUCUUCGGAUUGUAAAGCUCUGUCUUCAGGGACGAUAAUGACGGUACCUGAGGAGGAAGCCACGGCCAACUACGUGCCAGCCGCCGCGGUAA
This 476-nucleotide ribosomal RNA is filed under the name uncultured bacterium. Its description in RNAcentral is "partial 16S ribosomal RNA". It matches the Rfam family "Bacterial small subunit ribosomal RNA", at positions 28 to 523 of the family's 1533-position model. The record is from RNAcentral.